GGGCUUGGAGAUCGAUCAGUGAAAAAAGAGUGAAGUGUUCUUCUCAAGAGCUAUGAGGAACAAAGAAGAACUACUUAGCAUACUUCUAUUUGCUCAGGGUACCUUUCCAAUGAAAUAUCUAGGUCUUCCCCUGUCACCUAGAAUGUAUACAUGAGUGAUUGUUAGGGAUUGAUCGGCUUGUUGAAAAAGAUGAUAGCAGAUUGAAAAUACAAACUACUAUCACAUGCUGGGAG
Molecule: long non-coding RNA, 233 nt
Filed under: Zostera marina
Lineage: Eukaryota; Viridiplantae; Streptophyta; Magnoliopsida; Alismatales; Zosteraceae
Description: long non-coding RNA (ZMAR_LNC005682)
Source: RNAcentral